Long non-coding RNA from Nomascus leucogenys (northern white-cheeked gibbon), 631 nucleotides. RefSeq lists it as uncharacterized. The record is from RefSeq and is a predicted model, not a curated record. NCBI's taxonomy places the organism in Eukaryota, Metazoa, Chordata, Mammalia, Primates, Hylobatidae. The transcript has 2 exons.
AUGGAAAAGCAGCUUCUCUCACGCAAAGGUGUGUUCAGCAGGUUUCCCUGGGUUAAAGGAGAAAGGCUGGAUGCAGGAUAAAAAGAAAAAUGCUUUGCUCCAUGAACGUGGAUUCUGAAGGGUGUAUUUGACUGAGGAGACAACUGUAAAUUCCCUUGGGAAUUGGUCCUUGCUCUGAUUAUUGCCACAAAAGUCCUGCUGUCAAACAGAUUCAAACACAUUUCACAAUUAAUGUGAAGAGGCUCCAGUUACACCGCAAACGAGUGUGAUUGCUCCUCAGGAUUAAGGAUGUUUUUCUGUGGCUGAACUGAAGCAUCUGUCCCCAGGGCUGGAGGCUGGGUAUUGCCACAGCUGACCUUCUCUCCAUAGCUCUUGCUGCUGCUUAUCCUCCAAGAUGAAUCUGAAAGAGAAAACAACUGCUCAGUUGCUACAAAUCAUAGGAAGACUCUGGUGAGAAAAUCUCCAUAAAAGACUUCGGAAAAGAUACAUGUCUUAAGGCAGAACUUGAGGAAAAGCAGAAGACUUGGCACAGAAGCCGCAGAAGGCUUUUUCCAUGUGUAGGAACUUGCAAGGAUGGCAGGAGGCUACAGAGAGCAGACUUGAAACCCUGUGAAAAGAAGAAAUAAGCAAA